RNAcentral lists this ribosomal RNA (468 nucleotides) under uncultured bacterium. RNAcentral's name for it is "partial 16S ribosomal RNA". It matches the Rfam family "Bacterial small subunit ribosomal RNA", at positions 28 to 507 of the family's 1533-position model. The record is from RNAcentral.
GACGAACGCUGGCGGCGUGCUUAACACAUGCAAGUCGAACGGAAAGGCCCUGCUUUUGUGGGGUGCUCGAGUGGCGAACGGGUGAGUAACACGUGAGUAACCUGCCCUUGACUUUGGGAUAACUCCAGGAAACUGGGGCUAAUACCGGAUAUGAGCUCUUGCUGCAUGGUGGUGGUUGGAAAGUUUCGGCGGUUGGGGAUGGACUCGCGGGUUAUCCGCUUGUUGGGGUGGUAGUGGCUUACCAAGCGUUUGACGGCUAGCCGGCAUGGGAGGGUGAACGGCGACAUUGGGACUGAGAGAGGGCCCAGACUCCAACGGGAGGCAGCAGUCGAGAGUAUUGCGCAAUGGGGGGAAGCCUGAUGCAGCGACGCCGCGUGCGGGAUGCCGGGCUUCGGGUUGUAAACCGAUUUCGCCGGUGAUGAGGCGUGCGUGACGGUAAUGGGUAAGGAAGCACCGGCUAACUACGUG